RNAcentral lists this transfer RNA (83 nucleotides) under uncultured Alistipes sp. It matches the Rfam family "tRNA". Rfam says of the family: Transfer RNA (tRNA) molecules are approximately 80 nucleotides in length. Their secondary structure includes four short double-helical elements and three loops (D, anti-codon, and T loops). The record is from RNAcentral. Lineage: Bacteria; Pseudomonadati; Bacteroidota; Bacteroidia; Bacteroidales; Rikenellaceae.
GAGAGAUGGCAGAGUGGUCGAAUGCGGCGGUCUUGAAAACCGUUGAUCUUCACGGGUCCGGGGGUUCGAAUCCCUCUCUCUCC